This is a long non-coding RNA of Hibiscus syriacus, 231 nucleotides long. RefSeq lists it as uncharacterized. The record is from RefSeq and is a predicted model, not a curated record. The transcript is spliced from 3 exons. NCBI's taxonomy places the organism in Eukaryota, Viridiplantae, Streptophyta, Magnoliopsida, Malvales, Malvaceae.
AAAAUACAGCAGAUGGACAUAAAAAGCAUUACCGUGGUCGUAUUGGGGAUAAUAUCAGUGGCUACUGGCUUUGCCGCUGAAUUCACAAGGGUUAAGGCUUCACAAGUACAGGUAGAUGUUUACGGACGAUGUUCGUAUCCUCGUAGCCCUGCGCUUCUUCUAGGAAUAACUUCCGCCGCAACGCUUUCCAUCGCUAAAAUAAUAAUUAAUUUCGCCACCGGCUGUUUUUGC